GAACCACUGAGAGAAAUCCCUGGCUCCUUGAAUACAUUUAAAAAAAAUAUGCUCUGGGUUCAGGACUUGGCUUCAGGGAGCUGUUCCAUCCUCAUCAGCAGACAGCAUCCGUGUCCAGCCAGCUUCUCGAGGACGGACAGAGGCCUCUGCGGAUUCCUCGGGGACUGCAGGUGUGGGCUUUGGGCUUGUCAACACCAGACAAGUUUUGGCAAAGCAGGGCUGGGAGGCUGGUGAGCUCUUACGUGUCCCGUGUUUCUCCUCCUUGCCUCCUUUCACUGUUGCUAACACUGCCUGGAUCACAGUCAUCCUCAUUUCUUUCCUAUUGUCUUCUCUUUGUCUGCUCUUCUCUUGUCUUUUUUGCUUCUGCCACCAAAGUGAACCUUAGAAAUCACCCUUUGGAGCUCCUCUGCUCCAAGUCUUUCUUGAUCCAGGGCUGCCCAACCUUCUAGAACCCUGGCUCACCCUUCCCCACCUCUGAGGUUCUGCUGAGCGACCUCAGCCCUCCCUCCUCUUUUCUAGAGUCAGUUGCUCUUUGAAUGAGAACCUCAACUUUCCCCUGGCCAGCUUUGGGGUUCAGUGCAUGGAUCAUCUCUGGUGUCACCAGCUGGGCUGCGUUGGACAUUGCUCCCUGGAUCCCAGUAAACCACACCUGGCUCAUCCCCCACUACGGUCCACAGCCCUCAUUCUUCAGUGUCUACUGAACUACUGGAUCCAGCAGGAGUAACUGCGCUACACAAGUGCCGAGAUUGAGAGGGUCUUCAUUCUGCUCAGAACAAUGUCAAAGUUUGCCCCACGAAGGCUUUCUGCAGCCUGACACACCGGCCUCACUAUUCUUUCUGUGUGAGAUCCUACCCGCUACACUGUUCUCGGCUAUAAAAGACUCUA
Molecule: long non-coding RNA, 885 nt
Organism: Fukomys damarensis (Damara mole-rat)
Lineage: Eukaryota; Metazoa; Chordata; Mammalia; Rodentia; Bathyergidae
Exons: 3
Source: RefSeq, a predicted model, not a curated record